AGUGAACGCUGGCGGUAGGCCUAACACAUGCAAGUCGAACGGCAGCACAGUAAGAGCUUGCUCUUACGGGUGGCGAGUGGCGGACGGGUGAGGAAUACAUCGGAAUCUACUUUUUCGUGGGGGAUAACGUAGGGAAACUUACGCUAAUACCGCAUACGACCUACGGGUGAAAGCAGGGGAUCUUCGGACCUUGCGCGAUUGAAUGAGCCGAUGUCGGAUUAGCUAGUUGGCGGGGUAAAGGCCCACCAAGGCGACGAUCCGUAGCUGGUCUGAGAGGAUGAUCAGCCACACUGGAACUGAGACACGGUCCAGACUCCUACGGGAGGCAGCAGUGGGGAAUAUUGGACAAUGGGCGCAAGCCUGAUCCAGCCAUACCGCGUGGGUGAAGAAGGCCUUCGGGUUGUGAAGCCCUUUUGUUGGGAAAGAAAAGCAGCAGGUUAAUACCCCGCUGUUCUGACGGUACCCAAAGAAUAAGCGCCGGCUAACUUCGUG
RNAcentral lists this ribosomal RNA (492 nucleotides) under uncultured bacterium. Its description in RNAcentral is "partial 16S ribosomal RNA". It matches the Rfam family "Bacterial small subunit ribosomal RNA", at positions 29 to 507 of the family's 1533-position model. The record is from RNAcentral.